This 764-nucleotide ribosomal RNA is filed under the name Staphylococcus aureus. Its description in RNAcentral is "partial 23S ribosomal RNA". It matches the Rfam family "Bacterial large subunit ribosomal RNA", at positions 361 to 1128 of the family's 2925-position model. Lineage: Bacteria; Bacillati; Bacillota; Bacilli; Caryophanales; Staphylococcaceae. The record is from RNAcentral.
AGGUAAUAAUCCUGUAGUCGAAAAUGUUGUCUCUCUUGAGUGGAUCCUGAGUACGACGGAGCACGUGAAAUUCCGUCGGAAUCUGGGAGGACCAUCUCCUAAGGCUAAAUACUCUCUAGUGACCGAUAGUGAACCAGUACCGUGAGGGAAAGGUGAAAAGCACCCCGGAAGGGGAGUGAAAUAGAACCUGAAACCGUGUGCUUACAAGUAGUCAGAGCCCGUUAAUGGGUGAUGGCGUGCCUUUUGUAGAAUGAACCGGCGAGUUACGAUUUGAUGCAAGGUUAAGCAGUAAAUGUGGAGCCGUAGCGAAAGCGAGUCUGAAUAGGGCGUUUAGUAUUUGGUCGUAGACCCGAAACCAGGUGAUCUACCCUUGGUCAGGUUGAAGUUCAGGUAACACUGAAUGGAGGACCGAACCGACUUACGUUGAAAAGUGAGCGGAUGAACUGAGGGUAGCGGAGAAAUUCCAAUCGAACCUGGAGAUAGCUGGUUCUCUCCGAAAUAGCUUUAGGGCUAGCCUCAAGUGAUGAUUAUUGGAGGUAGAGCACUGUUUGGACGAGGGGCCCCUCUCGGGUUACCGAAUUCAGACAAACUCCGAAUGCCAAUUAAUUUAACUUGGGAGUCAGAACAUGGGUGAUAAGGUCCGUGUUCGAAAGGGAAACAGCCCAGACCACCAGCUAAGGUCCCAAAAUAUAUGUUAAGUGGAAAAGGAUGUGGCGUUGCCCAGACAACUAGGAUGUUGGCUUAGAAGCAGCCAUCAUUUAAAG